Long non-coding RNA from Corticium candelabrum, 244 nucleotides. RefSeq lists it as uncharacterized. The record is from RefSeq and is a predicted model, not a curated record. Lineage: Eukaryota; Metazoa; Porifera; Homoscleromorpha; Homosclerophorida; Plakinidae. The transcript has 3 exons.
GGGGUUUGAAAAGCAGUUCAGCUGCUGAAGAGAUCGAGACAUGUCUUACUUGUAAGCAUGGAAAAGACAGACACUAUGUUUUAGAAAAGCUUGAUAAAGAAUCAAAGAGUCGAGAUCGUCGAUCUACUGGUGGAAGCGUUAAAGACAAGCAGCUGCUAAUAGAUCAAUCAACUCGCUUGGGACCAUUGCAAAAAAGUAUUCUGCAAGGUAAUCUCGACUUGGCAAAAACGGUAGUCAAAGAAAC